Molecule: ribosomal RNA, 510 nt
Filed under: uncultured bacterium
Lineage: Bacteria
Description: bacterial SSU rRNA
Rfam family: Bacterial small subunit ribosomal RNA
Source: RNAcentral
GACGAACGCUGGCGGCGUGCCCAACACAUGCAAGUCGAGCGAAGUGCUUUAAGCGGAAUCUUCGGAGGAAGCUUAAAGUAUCUUAGCGGCGGACGGGUGAGUAAUGCGUGAGGAACCUGCCUUUCACAAGGGGAUAGCCUCGGGAAACUGGGAUUAAUACCCUAUGACACCUAAGUAUCGCAUGAUACUUAGGUUAAAGCGCAAAGCGGUGGAAGAUGGCCUCACGUCCCAUUAGCUAGUUGGUGAGGUAAAGGCUCACCAAGGCAACGAUGGGUAGCCGGCCUGAGAGGGUGACCGGCCACACUGGAACUGAGACACGGUCCAGACUCCUACGGGAGGCAGCAGUGGGGAAUAUUGCACAAUGGGCGAAAGCCUGAUGCAGCGACGCCGCGUGAGCGAAGAAGGCCUUCGGGUCGUAAAGCUCUGUCCUAUGGGACGAUAAUGACGGUACCCUAGGAGGAAGACCCCGGCCUAACUACGUGCCAGCAGCCGCGGUAAAGAGUAGUACAC